Molecule: ribosomal RNA, 522 nt
Filed under: uncultured bacterium
Lineage: Bacteria
Description: bacterial SSU rRNA
Rfam family: Bacterial small subunit ribosomal RNA
Source: RNAcentral
GCAGCAGUGGGGAAUUUUGGACAAUGGGCGCAAGCCUGAUCCAGCAAUGCCGCGUGCGUGAAGAAGGCCUUCGGGUUGUAAAGCACUUUUGUCCGGAAAGAAAUGGUUUUGUUUAAUACGAGGGGUAGAUGACGGUACCGGAAGAAUAAGCACCGGCUAACUACGUGCCAGCAGCCGCGGUAAUACGUAGGGUGCGAGCGUUAAUCGGAAUUACUGGGCGUAAAGCGUGCGCAGGCGGUUAUGCAAGACAGAUGUGAAAUCCCCGGGCUCAACCUGGGAAUUGCAUUGGUGACUGCAUGGCUAGAGUGCGUCAGAGGGGGGUAGAAUUCCGCGUGUAGCAGUGAAAUGCGUAGAUAUGGGGAGGAACACCGAUGGCGAAGGCAACCCCCUGGGCUAACACUGACGCUCAUGCACGAAAGCGUGGGGAGCAAACAGGAUUAGAUACCCUGGUAGUCCACGCCCUAAACGAUGUCAACUAGUUGGUGGGGAAUCAUUUCCUCAGUAACGAAGCUAACGCGUGAA